This 392-nucleotide ribosomal RNA is filed under the name uncultured bacterium. RNAcentral describes it as "bacterial SSU rRNA". It matches the Rfam family "Bacterial small subunit ribosomal RNA", at positions 30 to 416 of the family's 1533-position model. The record is from RNAcentral.
AGUGAACGCUGGCGGCAGGCCUAACACAUGCAAGUCGAACGGCAGCACGGCAGUAGCAAUACUGUGGGUGGCGAGUGGCGGACGGGUGAGGAAUACAUCGGGAUCUACCCUGUUGUGGGGGAUAACGUAGGGAAACUUACGCUAAUACCGCAUAAGAACUGAGGUUGAAAGCGGCGGACCGCAAGGCGUCGCGCGAUUGGAUGAACCGAUGUCCGAUUAGCUAGUUGGCGGGGUAAAGGCCCACCAAGGCGACGAUCGGUAGCUGGUCUGAGAGGACGACCAGCCACACUGGAACUGAGACACGGUCCAGACACCUACGGGAGGCAGCAGUGGGGAAUAUUGGACAAUGGGCGCAAGCCUGAUCCAGCCAUGCCGCGUGGGUGAAGAAGGCC